This is a non-coding RNA of Vicugna pacos (alpaca), 3378 nucleotides long. NCBI's taxonomy places the organism in Eukaryota, Metazoa, Chordata, Mammalia, Artiodactyla, Camelidae. The record is from RefSeq and is a predicted model, not a curated record.
GGUGAGGGGCAGGUGGCGGGAGACGCAGGGCCUCGGGAGCCCUUAAUUAGUCCUUCAGGUCUUAGGGACCUUGGUGAAAUCGUGGCUGAUGCAAGGCGGAGCAGUGGGGGACAUGGUUUUGCUCACUUAGCAGGGGAGCAGGUGGAAGCUUAGGGAGAUUCACCACUAAUUUCAGGUUCAGGGACAGACCCAAACUUCUAACUCAAGGGAUCUUUUCUAAGCCCAAGGGAACACGUGUACUUGCCACCACUGCCACCACUUUGUCACCUGACAGACAUGGCCCAGAGACCCUCCCUCUGGAGGGAGUUCCUGAUCCUUGUGUCCCCUCUUCCCGCAGAGGGCCGGGGGCGGGGUGGGUCGGAACAGCAUGGCCACCACCUCCACAUAUAAAUUUUGGAAGGCUGCUGGACCUCACUCUGCAAGAGCAUGACUAGACACGUGAUGUUUCAGGUUCAUGUUGAUUCAGUUUUGUGUAAGCUUGUGUAGUCUCCGGACAGGUGUGGCAGGGAGGAGUUAACCCGGGCCAGCCUGGGAGGGGAAGGGCCGGUCCGGGAAGCGUAUGUCUCGCGGGAGCAGGUAGACAGGCAUGCCCAUGUCUGUGUGCCUGGGGACUUGGGAAUGGAUGGAGGUGAGACCAUGGAGCUGAGCUUUAGGCCUGGAGACAACGUGCAAGCAGACCCUUCCGUGGAGAGACCCUCACUCUCCUCACCAGCUGGCACUCGGUGGGGAAGGCAGAAAUAAUUCCCAAGGAGCGAGCCUUCUGACAAAUGUCCCGGCUGCAUCUAGACACCCAUGAGGUUUGGAGGAGUUCCCGGUCUGGAGCUGCUGGGGUGGCUCUGUACGUUAACUGAACCCCAAAGCCCCUGCGACUGCCACCUGCAUCCACUUCUUCAGUGGAAAAGAGCCAUCACGGGGCAGGGGGCGGUUCUAAGGACCAGGUUCUUAGAUGCCUGCUGUCUUCCUGAAUCUGUGGCUGACCUUCCCUGAGCUUCACGUUCUGUGAGCCCCAGGGAGGGAACAGGCUUGACACUGCUUCCUGGGAGAUGAGGAUUUAAGCUGUGCAUCCCCACAGGUGAUGGACAAUGUCAUUCCUUGGUCCUGCCCUGCUUCGGGCUCCCCUAGCAGCGUACUCACCUGUCUCAUGCCCACACCGGAGCAAACGUUUCUUUUACGUGUCUGCACUCCCCCACCUCCAUGCCACCUAGUCUGUAAGCCCUCAAAGACAGAAGCAAAUCUCACCUGUCCUUUUACCCCAAUCCUCUAGCACAGUGGCUGACUCACUGUGUUAAAUUGCUAUCUGCUGAUUGAUUAAUCAAUUGAUGGCCUGGUUUUCUAAGCCUUGGGUUGACAGCUGGGUUGAUAGAAGCCUGCUGAGGAAGAACAUCCCUAAGUUUAUCCAAGGAACGCUUAUCGCCAGGCGCCUUGCUCUGUAUCAUUCAAAAGAACUAUCUGUUAACACUUUCCUGGGUCCCAGGCACUGCAUUAGGUACACAUGGAUGUCAGGAUGAACAAGACUUUGUGCUUGUCCCCCAGGGCUGCCAGUCUCACUGCCACUAAGACCCUAACCCAGCCACCCCCACUCCUACUCCACUAUUGGAAUACGAUGUAGUUUGUCUUUGUAACAUUUGUAGCACUUAUCCCAUACAACCUCGUGUUAAAAUCACUUCCGCUGUCUGCCUGCCCGUCGAGCUGGAGAGCUGCCAAAGGAAAGGGACCUGGUUUCAAAUCGCAGCACUUCCGGGUGCUGGCCUCUCUGGGGCUGUGCGUUCCCAGCCUGUACAAGGAAGUAUUACAGCCCCCACCUCUGGGAUCACGGGGCUGAGGAUGUAAGUGUCAUCCAUGUGUCCCUCUCAAACUGGCCACCUAGAGCACCCUCCCUUCUGCCAUUCUCCUGGGCCAGCCUAUCCCUUCCUCUCCAUUCUUUUGGCAAGUAGACGCAGAGGACAGGAGGACUGUACCCAAAUCACUCUCUGCUCCAGCCACCAGUUCUCAUGUGCCCCUCCCUCAUGGGGCAGUGAGAAGACCACAAGAUGGGGGUCUGAAUAGGGUCUGAGUCUGGGCUCUGGUCACUUGCUGUGAGUCUGACCUUGGGUUAAUUGCUGACUCUCUGAGCCUCCAUUUUCAUCUGUAAAAUGGAACAAUAAUCCAUGCCUCUGGGCCACGCACAGGUUAAAUGAAAGAGUGUGUGCAGAGCUCCCCCACAGUGCAUGGCCCUUGUCAGGACUUACCACCGCGGCCCGCUUCUGAGGCUCAGCUUUGAACAAGGAAGAGGUGCCUUCGGCAGCAGACACCUCCAUUCUAAUUCUCUACAAAGACACGGAUGCGAGAGGAAAAAGAAAAUCUGUAGGUCCACAGUGGAGCCCACUGCUGAAAGCUGGUGACAGCCAGGGAGGGCAUUGGCUGGGGCUCAGGCUGAUGGUGGGAGAGGCUUGGAGGACCGACCAUGGUCUCCUGGGGAGGGCGCCCCUCGCCCCCGAACAGGGAGAGAGGGAAGCAGUCGCGGAGGCAGACACGGGAGCCCAGCUGUAUGGGCAGCAGCCAACACAGUCAUCUCCGAAGAAAGGCAGAGUGGCUGCAGCACAAAACUGCUUUUAUUGGCUUUUUAUCAGGCCCCAUCCCGUCCACCUGAGGCACUGGACUGCCCGCCAUCGGAUGAGUAUGCCUGUGUCUGUCUUCCCACCGCCAAUCCAUCCCCCUCUCGCCCGCUGGACUAACCUCUGGAACCAGAGCCAAUUAGGCCACUUCCCCCUCUCUCGGAAUAAAACAAACAGGCCACUUCACUCAUCCAUAGCUCUCCAUCAGAGUUUAAAUCUCCAAACAUAUAAAUCCGGUCACAACUGGCCCCGACCUACAGAAUUUCUCUCCUCCCCUCCCUGCCACGCCUGACGCCAGCCACACGGGGCCACUCACGCUGCUUGGCGUGAGCUCAGUGUUUGCUGUACCAAGAAUAUUUUUUUCUACUGAGCUGAUGCGUCUCCAUCCUCAAUACUCUGCUCGGUGGUCCUUUCCUGGGUGAGCCCUUCCCUGCUCAUCCCUGGGCAUACCUUACCCGUGCUUCCUGCAGACCUACCCCCGCCACUCACUACCCACGCGACCUCGAACUGGCUCCUUAUCAGCUUUAUGACUCAGUUUCCUCGCCUGCAACAUUUGGUGACUGUGAGGACUAAAUGAGUUAAUACAGUCAAGUGCUUAAAACAGUGCCUGGCCCACAGGAAACACUUACUAAAUGUCAACUAUUGUUAUCCUCAUUUUAAUCAAUGCUAUGAAUAUAGUGCAUAGCACACUGUACAGGAACUCUUGGCUCACCUGUCUCUUUGAGUAGAACCUGAACUCCUUACCAGCAACUCCUCACAUCCAAGCAGUGCCUGCCAGAGAGUG